Long non-coding RNA from Hemibagrus wyckioides, 235 nucleotides. RefSeq lists it as uncharacterized. NCBI's taxonomy places the organism in Eukaryota, Metazoa, Chordata, Actinopteri, Siluriformes, Bagridae. The record is from RefSeq and is a predicted model, not a curated record. The transcript has 3 exons.
GGUCUUCCACUGCGCCCUCUGCUGUUAGCGGCCGGAGCUGCAGCCGCGACAGCCAGCAUUUACACUUAUGUUAAACGGAGCGAAGAUACGACAGCGGAGCCCGAGGACACGACCGAAGGUCCUGACACAGAGGUUGUUAAAGACCAGAUGAUGAAACUGUUGGUGUCCAAGAUUCAGCUGCAGGACAGAGUGAAGGAGCUGGAGGAACUGCUCUGUGAGGCACACAGAGACUGUG